Molecule: long non-coding RNA, 239 nt
Filed under: Capsicum annuum
Lineage: Eukaryota; Viridiplantae; Streptophyta; Magnoliopsida; Solanales; Solanaceae
Description: long non-coding RNA (CANN_LNC006069)
Source: RNAcentral
UCUCUCACAAUAUCUGACACACGCUCUACAUAUAAUUAGAUUAAAAUUGUUUUUCGAGUAAAAACACAAAAUUUUAUAAGAAUAAAAUCGGGACACAAAAUCUCAAUACUACAACAAUGUGUUUAUAAGUAAAGUGAGGACUAAAGUGCAAACCACUUUUUGAGAAUACACUGCAUAUGUUGUUGUUAUCUUCUUAAUUCAUUGCUUUGAUGUUGAAUGUUUUGCCAACAAAUGCAGAA